This 370-nucleotide unclassified non-coding RNA is filed under the name Hevea brasiliensis (rubber tree). The record is from RNAcentral. Lineage: Eukaryota; Viridiplantae; Streptophyta; Magnoliopsida; Malpighiales; Euphorbiaceae.
AGUUGAGUUGAAUGCUUCUAGCCAUUGGAUGAAAAUAUUAAACUUCAUUAACCAGGGUUUUAAAGAAUGACAUCAUUUGCAGUAUUAUAAUGUAUUGGUUUGUAUAACUUUGUUAAAAUAAAGGCUUCAUGUUGUUUGAUGUUAUCAUGAUUUUUUUAAAUUAAGCAAAAUCACUCAAAUUUUAUGAAGAUCCUCAACAUCUAAAAUCAAUUAUGAAUAUGAUUUUGUUACUUAUUGUAAAAUAUAGCUGAUGAUACAACCAUUGGGAUGCUACAGUUAUUGGCUUUCUCCUCGAGCUUAUCUGGACAUUAAUAUAGUUUUUAAUUUUCAUAUAACUUUAUUCUGGGGAUAUUGCAUUAUAAAAUAUUUU